CCUACGGGAGGCAGCAGUGAGGAAUAUUGGUCAAUGGGCGAGAGCCUGAACCAGCCAAGUCGCGUGAAGGAUGACUGCCCUACGGGUUGUAAACUUCUUUUGUCAGGGAGCAAUUGGGUCCACGCGUGGGCUUAGCGAGAGUACCUGAAGAAAAAGCAUCGGCUAACUCCGUGCCAGCAGCCGCGGUAAUACGGAGGAUGCGAGCGUUAUCCGGAUUUAUUGGGUUUAAAGGGUGCGUAGGCGGAAUAUCAAGUCAGCGGUAAAAAUUCGGGGCUCAACCCCGUCGUGCCGUUGAAACUGAUGUUCUGGAGUGGGCGAGAAGUAUGAGGAAUGCGUGGUGUAGCGGUGAAAUGCAUAGAUAUCACGCAGAACUCCGAUUGCGAAGGCAGCAUACCGGCGCCCAACUGACGCUGAAGCACGAAAGCGUGGGUAUCGAACAGGAUUAGAUACCCUGGUAGUC
This 460-nucleotide ribosomal RNA is filed under the name uncultured bacterium. Its description in RNAcentral is "partial 16S ribosomal RNA". It matches the Rfam family "Bacterial small subunit ribosomal RNA", at positions 338 to 795 of the family's 1533-position model. The record is from RNAcentral.